This 492-nucleotide ribosomal RNA is filed under the name uncultured bacterium. RNAcentral describes it as "partial 16S ribosomal RNA". It matches the Rfam family "Bacterial small subunit ribosomal RNA", at positions 29 to 507 of the family's 1533-position model. The record is from RNAcentral.
AGUGAACGCUGGCGGUAGGCCUAACACAUGCAAGUCGAACGGCAGCACAGUAAGAGCUUGCUCUUACGGGUGGCGAGUGGCGGACGGGUGAGGAAUACAUCGGAAUCUACUUUUUCGUGGGGGAUAACGUAGGGAAACUUACGCUAAUACCGCAUACGACCUACGGGUAAAAGCAGGGGAUCUUCGGACCUUGCGCGAUUGAAUGAGCCGAUGUCGGAUUAGCUAGUUGGCGGGGUAAAGGCCCACCAAGGCGACGAUCCGUAGCUGGUCUGAGAGGAUGAUCAGCCACACUGGAACCGAGACACGGUCCAGACUCCUACGGGAGGCAGCAGUGGGGAAUAUUGGACAAUGGGCGCAAGCCUGAUCCAGCCAUACCGCGUGGGUGAAGAAGGCCUUCGGGUUGUAAAGCCCUUUUGUUGGGAAAGAAAAGCAGCAGGUUAAUACCCCGCUGUUCUGACGGUACCCAAAGAAUAAGCACCGGCUAACUUCGUG